Molecule: ribosomal RNA, 253 nt
Filed under: uncultured bacterium
Lineage: Bacteria
Description: partial 16S ribosomal RNA
Rfam family: Bacterial small subunit ribosomal RNA
Source: RNAcentral
UACGUAGGCAGCAAGCGUUGUUCGGAGUUACUGGGCGUAAAGGGUGUGUAGGCGGUUUUUUAAGUUUGGUGUGAAAUCUCCCGGCUUAACCGGGAGGGUGCGCCGAAUACUGAGGGACUAGAGUACGGGAGAGGAAAGUGGAAUUCCUGGUGUAGCGGUGAAAUGCGUAGAUAUCAGGAGGAACACCGGUGGCGUAGACGGCUUUCUGGACCGUAACUGACGCUGAGACCCGAAAGCGUGGGUAGCAAACAGG